Molecule: non-coding RNA, 85 nt
Organism: Pediculus humanus corporis (human body louse)
Lineage: Eukaryota; Metazoa; Arthropoda; Insecta; Psocodea; Pediculidae
Source: Rfam
GUCUUUUGUUGGUCGAAGAGUGAAAUUUUAGUCCAUGUUGUUAAGAUAUCAUGACUAGAAUGACACUCUUCAAUCAGUGAAAGAU